CAGCAGCCGCGGUAAUACGUAGGUGGCAAGCGUUGUCCGGAAUUAUUGGGCGUAAAGAGCUCGCAGGCGGUUUCUUAAGUCUGAUGUGAAAGCCCCCGGCUCAACCGGGGAGGGUCAUUGGAAACUGGGAAACUUGAGUGCAGAAGAGGAGGGUGGAAUUCCACGUGUAGCGGUGAAAUGCGUAGAGAUGUGGAGGAACACCAGUGGCGAAGGCGACCCUCUGGUCUGUAACUGACGCUGAGGAGCGAAAGCGUGGGGAGCGAACAGGAUUAGAUACCCCAGUAGUCCCUGUCUCUUAUAC
RNAcentral lists this ribosomal RNA (301 nucleotides) under uncultured bacterium. Its description in RNAcentral is "partial 16S ribosomal RNA". It matches the Rfam family "Bacterial small subunit ribosomal RNA", at positions 509 to 807 of the family's 1533-position model. The record is from RNAcentral.